Molecule: ribosomal RNA, 533 nt
Filed under: uncultured bacterium
Lineage: Bacteria
Description: bacterial SSU rRNA
Rfam family: Bacterial small subunit ribosomal RNA
Source: RNAcentral
GAGUUUGAUCAUGGCUCAGAACGAACGCUGGCGGCGUGCUUAACACAUGCAAGUCGAACGAGAACCAGAGCUUGCUCUGGUGAAAGCGGCGCACGGGUGAGUAACGCGUGGAUAACCUACCCUGGUGUCCGGGAUAACAUCUUGAAAAGGGUGCUAAUACCGGAUAAGCCCACGGGAUCUUCGGAUUCUGCGGGAAAAGGUGGCCUCUAUUUAUAAGCUACCGUAUCAGGAUGGGUCCGCGUACCAUUAGCUAGUUGGUGGUGUAAUGGACCACCAAGGCGACGAUGGUUAGCUGGUCUGAGAGGAUGAUCAGCCACACUGGAACUGAGACACGGUCCAGACUCCUACGGGAGGCAGCAGUGGGGAAUUUUGCGCAAUGGGGGAAACCCUGACGCAGCAACGCCGCGUGAGUGAUGAAGGCUUUCGGGUCGUAAAGCUCUGUCAGUGGGGAAGAAAUGUAGGAGUAUUAAUACCACUUUUACUUGACGGUACCCACAAAGGGAGCACCGGCUAACUCCGUGCCAGCAGCCGCG